This is a long non-coding RNA of Zingiber officinale, 1022 nucleotides long. RefSeq lists it as uncharacterized. NCBI's taxonomy places the organism in Eukaryota, Viridiplantae, Streptophyta, Magnoliopsida, Zingiberales, Zingiberaceae. The transcript has 3 exons. The record is from RefSeq and is a predicted model, not a curated record.
AUUGCUCGAACACACUGCCUCCAAAAGCCCCCUCCGACCUCCGUGAAAACUCAUCCCCGCAAAACCCCGCUCUGCGAAAACUCCUCUCCGCCACUUCUCCGCGCCUGCCGCGAAACUCCCACUGCCUCCGAAACUCCACGAAAAACCCAUCUCCGCCACUUCUCCGUGCCGGCCGUGACCUAACCUCCUCCGCCACUCCUCCGUGCCGCCAGUGACCUAACUUCCUCCGCCACUGCUCCACGCCAUUUUCCAGUGCUUCACUCCCAUCGCCAUUGAACACUGACGACUCUUUCUCCAUUACAAAGCUACCCUCCUUCCUUCGAGAUUAUCUGUUCAAUGUUCACACAAUUGGGAUACUACCAAGGCAUCGCGAAGUAGAACGUACUAAGCCUUUAUCGGGAGCAAUAGUGCACUUCGCUGGUCAUGAUGAGUUGCAGCAAACACAUCGUUACGUUUUGGCAAAUGAUGAUGAGAUUGAUCCUUAUAUCGGAUUAGAUCUGACUCUAUGUCAUCCUUUGGAAAGCUUAAAAUCAAGUUCGAUAGUGAUGACACAAUUCAUGCUUCGAUCAAGAGAAUAGGAUAACCUGUAAUGAUUGGGAAGGGUAAAGAAAAAAUUGCAACUACGUCCACUAACAAGAACUUGGAGGGUAAGACAAUGCUGGAACUACAAACACUAAAACAACAAGAACAUCUAGAGCUCAUAUCAUGGAUAAGCUUGCUAGACAAAGGGUUCAUGGAAUUCGAUAAGAGGUAAGAUUCAAUAAACUUGGACAGCCAAUGGGAGAAGCUGCUAUUGAAAUUCAAAGUUACAUUGACUUCCUUGCUCGAGAAAAGGUCAAGAUAACUUACAAGACGUGGAAGAAAGUUUCAAAUGAUGUUAAAGAAUUGAUAUGAUAAUCUAUUAAUGUAAAGUAAGUUUGUGUGUUUAGUCAAAUGUUAGUAUCCAUAUCGUUAUGAUAUAUUUAUAUUAUGUAAUUCUUUUUACUGGAUUUCCAAUUUUAUGUUUUAUAGUUGAAAUCCCA